UGGGAAUAUUGCACAAUGGGCGAAAGCCUGAUGCAGCAACGCCGCGUGCGGGAUGACGGCCUUCGGGUUGUAAACCGCUUUCAGCAGGGACGAAGGUUUUCUGACGGUACCUGCAGAAGAAGCACCGGCUAACUACGUGCCAGCAGCCGCGGUGAUACGUAGGGUGCGAGCGUUGUCCGGAAUUAUUGGGCGUAAAGAGCUUGUAGGCGGUCCGUUGCGUCGGAAGUGAAAACUCAGGGCUUAACCCUGAGCCUGCUUUCGAUACGGGCGGACUUGAGGGAUGUAGGGGAGAACGGAAUUCCUGGUGGAGCGGUGGAAUGCGCAGAUAUCAGGAGGAACACCAGUGGCGAAGGCGGUUCUCUGGACAUUUCCUGACGCUGAGAAGCGAAAGCGUGGGGAGCAAACAGGCUUAGAUACCCUGGUAGUCCACGCCGUAAACGGUGGGCACUAGGUGUGGGACCCA
RNAcentral lists this ribosomal RNA (463 nucleotides) under uncultured bacterium. Its description in RNAcentral is "partial 16S ribosomal RNA". It matches the Rfam family "Bacterial small subunit ribosomal RNA", at positions 356 to 831 of the family's 1533-position model. The record is from RNAcentral.